GACGAACGCUGGCGGCGUGCUUAACACAUGCAAGUCGAACGGAAAGGCCUCUUUCGGGGGUACUCGAGUGGCCAAAGGGUGGGUAACCCCGUAGUUACCUUCCCUUUACCUUGGGAUUAAUUCAGGAAACUUGGGCCAAUUCCCGAUAGGAGCUCCCUCUGCCUGGUGGGGGGUUGGAAGUUUCGGCGGUUGGGGAUGGACUCGCGGCUUAUCAGCUUGUUGGUGGGGUAGUGGCUUACCAAGGCUUUGACGGGUAGCCGGCCUGAGAGGGUGACCGGCCACAUUGGGACUGAGAUACGGCCCAGACUCCUACGGGAGGCAGCAGUGGGGAAUAUUGCACAAUGGGUGGAAGCCUGAUGCAGCAACGCCGUGUGCGGGAUGACGGCCUUCGGGUUGUAAACCGCUUUCGCUCAUGACGAAGCUUUGUGUGACGGUAGUGGGUAAAGAAGCACCGGCUAACUACGUG
RNAcentral lists this ribosomal RNA (466 nucleotides) under uncultured bacterium. RNAcentral's name for it is "partial 16S ribosomal RNA". It matches the Rfam family "Bacterial small subunit ribosomal RNA", at positions 28 to 507 of the family's 1533-position model. The record is from RNAcentral.